GGCUGGUCUGAUGGUAGUGGGUUAUCAGAACUUACUGACAUUAGUAUCACUAAAGUUGGUAUACAACCCCCCACUGCUAAACUUGACUGGCUUUAA
Molecule: Y RNA, 96 nt
Filed under: Prolemur simus (greater bamboo lemur)
Lineage: Eukaryota; Metazoa; Chordata; Mammalia; Primates; Lemuridae
Description: Y RNA (ENSPSMG00000009121.1)
Rfam family: Y RNA
About the family: Y RNAs are components of the Ro ribonucleoprotein particle (Ro RNP), in association with Ro60 and La proteins.
Source: Rfam by way of RNAcentral